GGCUAUAGCCAAGCGGUAAGGCAACGGACUUUGACUCCGUCACUCGUUGGUUCGAAUCAUUCAUGGCGG
RNAcentral lists this transfer RNA (69 nucleotides) under Staphylococcus aureus. Its description in RNAcentral is "tRNA-Gln". It matches the Rfam family "tRNA". Rfam says of the family: Transfer RNA (tRNA) molecules are approximately 80 nucleotides in length. Lineage: Bacteria; Bacillati; Bacillota; Bacilli; Caryophanales; Staphylococcaceae. The record is from RNAcentral.